RNAcentral lists this ribosomal RNA (1476 nucleotides) under Shigella boydii. RNAcentral describes it as "partial 23S ribosomal RNA". It matches the Rfam family "Bacterial large subunit ribosomal RNA", at positions 1 to 1512 of the family's 2925-position model. Lineage: Bacteria; Pseudomonadati; Pseudomonadota; Gammaproteobacteria; Enterobacterales; Enterobacteriaceae. RNAcentral also lists the same sequence under 1 other name. The record is from RNAcentral.
GGGUUGUGAGGUUAAGCGACUAAGCGUACACGGUGGAUGCCCUGGCAGUCAGAGGCGAUGAAGGACGUGCUAAUCUGCGAUAAGCGUCGGUAAGGUGAUAUGAACCAUUAUAACCGGCGAUUUCCGAAUGGGGAAACCCAGUGUGAUUCGUCACACUAUCAUUAACUGAAUCCAUAGGUUAAUGAGGCGAACCGGGGGAACUGAAACAUCUAAGUACCCCGAGGAAAAGAAAUCAACCGAGAUUCCCCCAGUAGCGGCGAGCGAACGGGGAGCAGCCCAGAGCCUGAAUCAGUGUGUGUGUUAGUGGAAGCGUCUGGAAAGGCGUGCGAUACAGGGUGACAGCCCCGUACACAAAAAUGCACAUAUUGUGAGCUCGAUGAGUAGGGCGGGACACGUGGUAUCCUGUCUGAAUAUGGGGGGACCAUCCUCCAAGGCUAAAUACUCCUGACUGACCGAUAGUGAACCAGUACCGUGAGGGAAAGGCGAAAAGAACCCCGGCGAGGGGAGUGAAAAAGAACCUGAAACCGUGUACGUACAAGCAGUGGGAGCACGCUUAGGCGUGUGACUGCGUACCUUUUGUAUAAUGGGUCAGCGACUUAUAUUCUGUAGCAAGGUUAACCGAAUAGGGGAGCCGAAGGGAAACCGAGUCUUAACUGGGCGUUAAGUUGCAGGGUAUAGACCCGAAACCCGGUGAUCUAGCCAUGGGCAGGUUGAAGGUUGGGUAACACUAACUGGAGGACCGAACCGACUAAUGUUGAAAAAUUAGCGGAUGACUUGUGGCUGGGGGUGAAAGGCCAAUCAAACCGGGAGAUAGCUGGUUCUCCCCGAAAGCUAUUUAGGUAGCGCCUCGUGAAUUCAUCUCCGGGGGUAGAGCACUGUUUCGGCAAGGGGGUCAUCCCGACUUACCAACCCGAUGCAAACUGCGAAUACCGGAGAAUGUUAUCACGGGAGACACACGGCGGGUGCUAACGUCCGUCGUGAAGAGGGAAACAACCCAGACCGCCAGCUAAGGUCCCAAAGUCAUGGUUAAGUGGGAAACGAUGUGGGAAGGCCCAGACAGCCAGGAUGUUGGCUUAGAAGCAGCCAUCAUUUAAAGAAAGCGUAAUAGCUCACUGGUCGAGUCGGCCUGCGCGGAAGAUGUAACGGGGCUAAACCAUGCACCGAAGCUGCGGCAGCGACGCUGAUGCGUUGUUGGGUAGGGGAGCGUUCUGUAAGCCUGUGAAGGUGUGCUGUGAGGUAUGCUGGAGGUAUCAGAAGUGCGAAUGCUGACAUAAGUAACGAUAAAGCGGGUGAAAAGCCCGCUCGCCGGAAGACCAAGGGUUCCUGUCCAACGUUAAUCGGGGCAGGGUGAGUCGACCCCUAAGGCGAGGCCGAAAGGCGUAGUCGAUGGGAAACAGGUUAAUAUUCCUGUACUUGGUGUUACUGCGAAGGGGGGACGGAGAAGGCUAUGUUGGCCGGGCGACGGUUGUCCCGGUU